Molecule: ribosomal RNA, 468 nt
Filed under: uncultured bacterium
Lineage: Bacteria
Description: partial 16S ribosomal RNA
Rfam family: Bacterial small subunit ribosomal RNA
Source: RNAcentral
GACGAACGCUGGCGGCGUGCUUAACACAUGCAAGUCGAACGGAAAGGCCCUGCUUUUGUGGGGUGCUCGAGUGGCGAACGGGUGAGUAACACGUGAGUAACCUGCCCUUGACUUUGGGAUAACUUCAGGAAACUGGGGCUAAUACCGGAUAGGAGCUCCUGCUGCAUGGUGGGGGUUGGAAGGUUUCGGCGGUUGGGGAUGGACUCGCGGCUUAUCAGCUUGUUGGUGGGGUAGUGGAUUACCAAGGCUUUGCCGGGUAGCCGGCCUGGGAGGGUGACCGGCCACAUUGGGACUGAGAUACGGCCCAGACUCCUACGGGAGGCAGCAGUGGGGAAUAUUGCACAAUGGGCGGAAGCCUGAUGCAGCAACGCCGCGUGCGGGAUGACGGCCUUCGGGUUGUAAACCGCCUUCGCCUGUGACGAAGCGUGAGUGACGGUAAUGGGUAAAGAAGCACCGGCUAACUACGUG